UCAGGAUGAACGCUAGCGGCAGGCCUAAUACAUGCAAGUCGAACGGGAAAGGCUCCUUCGGGGGCCUGAGAGUGGCGCACGGGUGCGCAACGCGUAUGCAACCAACCCCCGACAGGCGGAUAGCCGGUGGAAACGCCGGAUAAUACGCCAUGGUUCCUUGGGAGGGCAUCCUCCUAGGGAUAAAGCAGCGAUGCGGUCGGGGACGGGCAUGCGUGCCAUUAGCUUGUUGGCGGGGCGACGGCCCACCAAGGCUGCGAUGGCUAGGGGAUCUGAGAGGACGGUCCCCCACACUGGUACUGAGACACGGACCAGACUCCUGCGGGAGGCAGCAGUAAGGGAUAUUGGUCAAUGGGCGGAAGCCUGAACCAGCCAUGCCGCGUGAGGGAAUGAGGCCCUACGGGUCGUGAACCUCUUUUAUUCGGGGACAAGGACGGCGUCGUGAACGCCGUUUGAGGGUACCGAAGGAAUAAGCGUCGGCUAACUCCGUGCCAGCCGCAGC
This 499-nucleotide ribosomal RNA is filed under the name uncultured bacterium. RNAcentral's name for it is "bacterial SSU rRNA". It matches the Rfam family "Bacterial small subunit ribosomal RNA", at positions 24 to 518 of the family's 1533-position model. The record is from RNAcentral.